Molecule: unclassified non-coding RNA, 300 nt
Organism: Erpetoichthys calabaricus (reedfish)
Lineage: Eukaryota; Metazoa; Chordata; Cladistia; Polypteriformes; Polypteridae
Rfam family: Metazoan signal recognition particle RNA
About the family: The signal recognition particle (SRP) is a universally conserved ribonucleoprotein. It is involved in the co-translational targeting of proteins to membranes. The eukaryotic SRP consists of a 300-nucleotide 7S RNA and six proteins: SRPs 72, 68, 54, 19, 14, and 9.
Source: Ensembl
GCCGGACGCGGUGGCGCGUGUCUGUAAUCCUGGCUUCUCGGGAGGCUGAGGCUGAAGGAUCGCUUGAGCUCAGGAGACCUGGGUGACUGUAGCCUGUGUCGAUCGGGUGUCCGAGCUAAGUUCGGCAUCGAUAUGGUGCACCUGGGGUAGCCCGGGGCUACCAGGUCGUUUAAGGAGGGGCGAACCGGCCCAGGUCGGAAACGGAGCAGGUCAAAGUCCCCGUGUCGGUCAGUAGCGGGAUCGCGCCCGUGAGCGGGCGCUGUCACCCAGCCUGAGUAAGAGAGCGGGACGCAGCCUCUA